GGGUAAGUUCCGACCUGCACGAAUGGCGUAACGACUUUCCUACUGUCUCAACCACAGACCCGGCGAAAUUGAAGUACGAGUAAAGAUGCUCGUUAGCUGCAGCAGGACGGAAAGACCCCGUGGACCUUUACUACAGCUUGGUGUUGGGUUUUGGUGCGGAUUGUGCAGGAUAGGUGGGAGGCUUGGAAGCUCUAGCGCUAGCUAGGGUGGAGCCAACGUUGAGAUACCACCCUGUUCGUUCCGGGACUCUAACUCUGGUCCGUGAUCCGGAUCGGGGACAGCGCCAGGUGGGUAGUUUGACCGGGG
Molecule: ribosomal RNA, 306 nt
Filed under: Oxyrrhis marina
Lineage: Eukaryota; Dinophyceae; Oxyrrhinales; Oxyrrhinaceae
Description: partial Bacterial large subunit ribosomal RNA
Rfam family: Bacterial large subunit ribosomal RNA
Source: RNAcentral